CCAGCGUAAUUAACUUCCUCAGAAGAAAAGCAAGUUUUGAAGAGUGUUCUAGGAGCAGCAGGAUCCCAUAAAGGGCGAGGCAAAGGUGUCCCCUGGAAACAGAGGCCUUGAACAGCUGGCCACUGCUGUGAUCAGCAAAAGAAAACCAGGUUCUCCAGCUAUCCGGGCACAGCGAUGUUCAGCAAAACGUCACACAACAGCAGCUCAGUUCUGGCAGAUCCCAACGGCACAGCACGGGACCCCCUGUCUGCAAUGCUCCCGUGUUGCUGUGGGUUUUCUUGCUCCGCCGCAGUACUGAAAGCUGCAGUGUUCCUUUCUUUCACUACCUUUUGUUCCUGGAAAUAAUCCCUUUUCCACGUAGCUGUGGAACUAUGAAGCUGCCUGCUGCAGUUGCAUUCUUUAUCUGGCUGUCAUCUGUACUUCACAGCGAAGCCCUGAGCUGCCUCUGCCAGAGCACUGCUGCUCUUGGCUCUGGAUGCGCCAGCGACUGCCUCACUUCUGGUUGGAGGGCUUAAGUGGAGUAGGAUUGUUUUACCUUUCUUCUGUGAUGCAGAUAUAAUGCUGAGUAAAAUGUGUAUUGGGAAAGGUGGGGGAAGACCACUACUACCUGUUGAUGUUAGAAAGCAAUGUAUGGUAUUUGUAUAUCUUCUUGGCAUUGAUUUCCAACUACCAGCAGCUAAAGCAGAGACACGUUCAUUAAAAAUAUCCUCACAGACCUCAAGUGUGCAAAUGCAAGCUGCAUCCUGACUAGAUGUCAAACGUUCUGGGUGUAACUGUGCACUUCCCAUCACUAAUGCAAAGCACUCAGUGCCGUUCUGAUGCAUGGGAUGUGCCCAUCUCCUUUCCUUCCUUUGGACAUGGCUCCUCUGCAGCUGUGAUUUCCCGGUGGCACAACCUGUGGGUGGGUCUGCAACCACCCCACCACUCUGUGUAUGCAUUUCCCCCACUGCACAUGGAGACUUAAAGCCAGUACAAGGCGAAAAGCACUUGGAAAAGUCUCAGGCCUGCUCGAGCACCUACAGGCGUACUUCCUUGACAAGAGUGGGCAUAGCAGAGCAGCUGUAGUAAUCAUGUUCAAAAACCAAAGCAAUCCAACACGGUAAGGAGCUCACAGCCACUCAUAGCUUUGCUAUUUGCCAGCCACAGGCUGCUCAGAACUCAGCUCGUGCUGCCAAGUCACGCUUACUCAUAGGUGCAGUUACAUGCAUUUGUAAAUCAGUGGUUAAAAUGGCCCAGAGCUCUGCAGGCUGUCAGUCUGCAUGGGCAGAUCCACACAGGUUGAAAUAGAUUGUGUUUAUGAGAAAGUUUCCAGAAAAAAAAGAAAAUAAUAAUAAUAAUAAUAACAACCACAGGACAAAGUUGCAUCCAAGGGUUAGGACUGCAGAAAAAAAUACCUGUUACACUGUGCAGGGUGUGCUGGUGGUUCAGGUGUGUUCAGCCCACGUGGGCAGCAGGACAGCUCGUGCAUCUCCCCUCUGCUGGCACUUUAGCUUUUGACUGCUGUAGAAUGGAGCAAGCAAGCUAAGGUUCCCUCUCUGAAGAUUUGCAUACGGAAAUCAGCGUUUGGAAGCCCAGGUCGUUAACCUCACCAUUUGCUGUUGCACUCCAUGCUACUUCCUCAAACCAGGGCUGCUGUUUCUGUGGUAACCAUCAGUCCAUAUCUCAUCUGGAGAGCAGCUUCUUGUGCUGUACCUUUCCCUUAAGACCCAUGUCCUCCCCCCCCCAGCUCCAGUGCUUCAGUGGACUUGGUGGUAGUUGCCUGUUCAGUCUCUUCUUUUGAGGCACACAGACCUGCACUUCUCACCAACUUCAGCAUUCCCCAAUGCCUCAUGCUAGGGAAUGCCUCUCCUUCUUCCAGAAGCUGAUAUUCAGAGCAGUGACUGCUUGCUCUGAACAAGGACAGAAUGGACUGGGAAUAAAGCAGAGGUGCUAAGGCUGUUACUGUGUGAGAAUGACACAGCACCAGGGGAGUGAGUUAGGACAGACAUUGAUGAACAUUCACUACCCAGCUUGCAUGUUCACAAAGCUACCUAUCUGCAUAGGUCACUGUUUCUUCCAGUUAGUACCCAAAAUGCUCCUGCAGAUGGGAUCACACUAGGUGACACCCUUUAUAGACUAAGGAGAAGGUGGAUGCAAAGAAGAGCAAGGUACCAUGGCUACCCAGGCUCUAUUCUCUAACCUGCUUCCUUUCCUGUGCUCCUCUUCCUCUAUUUUCUCUCCAGGUUUGCAAUAUUCAGAUGUGUUGAUGACACACGACUGAACUGGUUUAGCAAAUCACUGUGCAUAAUGUGAUACUCAGUCUGUGCUCUUAGACCAGUCCUCAUGAAUAGGCAUGCUAUACAGAAAUGUUAUCUCAGCUGCAGAUUAAAUAUGGAAGAGCACUCUGUCCUGUCAAACAAACAAGGAAACUGCUCUGGAAGAGGAAACAGUGGUUGUGUACCUCAGUUACACUGCUUACUUCACUGUUGGAUGUGAAUGAGGAGGAGAAGCAAAGACCACCUCGGUCUUGGACCAGCUGGCUUUAAGGUGCUGGCAAAGACAUGCCUAUGGGGAACAAAUAUUGACUUGAUGAUCUAACGAAGCUCAAUAAAAGUAAAGCACUUAUUCUGAGCUGACUCCAUCAGUGAGAAAGGCACCAGUCCCUGUGGAGAGUGAUUCAUCCCUCUCUCCAGAGUCCCUUAAGACCAGACCGAGGACUUGCUCAAGCCGCCUGUCCAUUUCCUUUGCCUAUAAAUGCACACUUAAAGCUACUUCUCUCUUUAGAUUACUGCAGCUAAAGCGCCGAGUCCCAUUUCUCACACCCUUGGUGAGAACACUGAGGUACUACGUAUGAAGCAUGCACACACGUGGUCUCUUCCUGUGUUUUGCAGAUCUCUGAAGUCCCCGUGCUGAGGCCUCCGUGCUGUGUGCCAAUUACUUCUCCCAUGGGCUAACAAUCUGCUGCCAGAGCUGUGGAGUGUGACAAUGGUGUUUGUGUCCAAUCUAUCAAACGCCAUUAUCACACUAAAUAGCUACUGGUAGAUGAGACUUCAAGUCAGAGAAGCAUAUCUGACAUGGGAAUAUGGAGACAGGAAGACAGCUAAUCUAUUAAGCACCAUUUCCCACCUAUUUCUGACAUGCACACUGGAGUUUGCUCAUUGUCAUUGUCAGACAACCUAAACUGUUCAUGCUGUGACCCAGAAAUGUCAGUAAGGGAUUGCUGAGAGGAACCAGCAUGAAGAAGAUACUCCUGACACAGACUUCCUACUCGCCAGACAAACAAGACAGACUGCAG
This is a long non-coding RNA of Gallus gallus (chicken), 3274 nucleotides long. Lineage: Eukaryota; Metazoa; Chordata; Aves; Galliformes; Phasianidae. The record is from Ensembl.